GAACCGAGAAGCUCAAGAGUCUCCGCACAAUCAUGGAGCCUCCCUCUUCUUCUCCCGUGGCACUCGCCCGGGCCUUGGCAGUGCUGCUUCUCAUAUGCUCUUCCCUGGCAGCUCAAGCUGGCCCGGGUCCAUCUGCCGGAACCCGUCUGGGACGAAGCCCUCCGUCGCCGGUAGCCCCGGGCGGCCCCGGUAUGUUUAUCAAGUGCGCAGACUGCCGCUCCCGCGCCACUCCGCCGGCGCCCCACCGCAAAGGCUAGCCCUGCAGGCCUUCCCGGACGUCGACAGUGAGACGCUUGCGCAUGAAGCAACACAGAUAUGUAAAUCAUGCGGCGACCUCGCUGGAGUGUGUCGUUGCUGGCUCUGGUCGUAGCUUUUGAAUUCUCGCUGGAGUGCUUCCUUCCCAUGUGUUUUUCGUCCUUUUGCUUAGCCUCAGCGUGUGCUACCUGGUUGCUCUUAUAACUGUAUUUUUUUUGAACUGUAUUAACCCGUAGAAUGUAGGAGUAAUCAUUUGUAAGGGUCAUCGCUGAAGGGUGCUUUUUUCAAAGUCA
This is a long non-coding RNA of Triticum aestivum (bread wheat), 548 nucleotides long. RefSeq lists it as uncharacterized. The record is from RefSeq and is a predicted model, not a curated record. NCBI's taxonomy places the organism in Eukaryota, Viridiplantae, Streptophyta, Magnoliopsida, Poales, Poaceae. The transcript has 2 exons.